Doryrhamphus excisus (bluestripe pipefish) is the source of this 1667-nucleotide non-coding RNA. The record is from RefSeq and is a predicted model, not a curated record. Lineage: Eukaryota; Metazoa; Chordata; Actinopteri; Syngnathiformes; Syngnathidae.
CUGCAUCCAUGUUCCACCGUUUCUCUUAGGACAGGGGGAAGCAGCCUAAGCAGGGAAACCCAGAUUUCCUUCACCUCGGCCACUUUGUCCACUUCACCCUGGCGGAUCCUGAGGCGUUUCCGGGCCCUCCAACGUGUCCUGGGUCUUCGCGAGGUCCCCUACUGUCCUCCCACCCUGAACACCUCCCCAGAGCGGCGUCCAGGCUGCGGUUCCUCAGGACCAGCUUUUACCUUCCUGCGUCUGGGGGCUCCUCCAUGAGAAGCAAACACAUUAGCCACCCCGAUUGCCAUCUUGACGAGAGCAAGGAGGUGACGGAGAGGAGGAGUUCUACGCGAGCAGUGACUGAUAGAAACCGGAAGUGGAUGGGGAAUUAGAUUAACGUGACACACCUGUGCCUCCAGGCUGCUGCAAGAAAUCGCCAAUUUAUCCUUGGGUGUGUUUGGACGCUGUUAUGUCUGCAUUUGAAUCUUCCGCCAACGAAGCCGAUGUCUUUAUCUGUCUGAGAUUGGCGGCCAAAAGUGACAGAUAAACGAAGCGAGCAUCGGAUGGCAGAGGUAGACGAGAUGAGGGCUAAGAGACUGGAAAGUUGGAGACGGCGAUGGCGUGGAGGAAGCCUGACAGCCCCUCAGGAGAACAGGCAGGCCAUUGAGGGAACGAGGAGGACGUCUCGCUCAUGAUGAGAUGUGUGGUGAAGCGAGCAUCACUGAUGACACUCUGGUAAAGAGGGAUGCGGCGGAUGAGACGAGGACGCCGGCCUAUUCUGGCUCGGACGUACAAAAGCAAAGCAUUUCCAUCAAUCCCAGACACACCUGCAGAUGUUACGCAACACUCUCCACCUGCCUCCGCGUGUCUGCCAAAUGGAUCUGUGUGAGUAGAUGAGUUUGGGAUGAAUUCAUCUCGGAUGGAUGAGGAACAGCUCCCAUAUGUUGGCCCUGCUGGGAUGCUGAGAGACGGAUACUUAUUUCCCCCGAGGUGGCGGUUGGUGGAACUAAAUGGAGUGGAGAUAGGGGACAUUUAUCUGUGGAGACGACUGAGGACACACACACACGCACACACACACACACACACACACACACACGGCAAGCAGCAGUUCAUAUCCUUAUCGUGACCCAUUUCUCCUUACGUUACCUGGUGUUAUGAAAGCUUCUUAUCGUCCGCGCACCAAGACGAGGUCAUCUAUACGGAGGAAGAUUAGCUGGAGUUCAGACCAACGGGAGCAGAACAAAGCAGCAGACAAUGUUCCAGCAGAAAAACAUCAAAUUGGAUGGCGCACAUCUUUUCCGUCCUUCUGAUUCGCCAUCGCUUUUACGUACAUUAGUGUCGGCUUUGAGCGUUCACACAAAGACAUCGUAUGAUGUUUGCUGUGGACGUGAAGAAUAACUGCAAGUGUGUACGUAGCCACGGGGAGACUAAACAAAAGCUAAGUUUGUCAUAUACGAACAUAUUAUGCUUCGACUUCAGCUAACAAGACAGGAAAUUAAAUGUACCAGGGCCAAGACGGGCAAAAACAAAUGAGUGACUUUUGUUAGUAAUCCCUUCUGAAAAGAAAACCAAAAUGUAUGACAACUGGAGCACAUUUUGGGGAGUGGGGGGGUGGUAUAUUUGUUGGAAGGGGAAUCCCACCCCAGAAGGAAUUAACAUCUUUGAUCCGUUUUGUUCGACUUCCC